This 216-nucleotide long non-coding RNA is filed under the name Phoenix dactylifera (date palm). RNAcentral describes it as "long non-coding RNA (PDAC_LNC012016)". The record is from RNAcentral. Lineage: Eukaryota; Viridiplantae; Streptophyta; Magnoliopsida; Arecales; Arecaceae.
UUGGGGGGAAUAAGAUUUUUUCCCAAAAUGACAUAAAUGCCCCUAAGAAGCCGUACAACUUCCGACCCCGGACGGCCGAAGUCGGCGUCCGACUUCGGAACGCCCGACCUCGAGACCUCCGACCUAAGAAAAACCCCGAUGUUCGAGGUCUACUCUUGUCAGCCACCUACUACGGCCGUGCGCCUCAGAGGUCCGGCCGAGGACCAUACCCUGACA